GUAAUUUAUUAAUAUGAGAAUAUAGUUGAAAAUAAUUAUUAAUUUAUUGUCUUGAAUUUUUUAAGCAAUAAUUAUUUCAGAAGGAUGGUGUAAAUGUUACUUCCAAUAUUUAUUAUUUAUGUCUUUUAACGCGCCUCUCAUGUUAAUCUGAUUUUUUUUUUAUACUGAAUUUAAAUUCAAAAUAUAUAUUUGUUCUGAUAUUAUGUUACGUUGCGUCGGAGUGUCAGAAAAAGGGUUAAGCCCCAGAAAUGACAUAUUUUUGUUUAAUUAAUUAUAUUUUUCAACAAAAUUAAUGGAAAAUGAAUCUUUUAAUUUAUACACACAAUCGAAAUCAUUAAAAG
This 341-nucleotide unclassified non-coding RNA is filed under the name Hevea brasiliensis (rubber tree). The record is from RNAcentral. Lineage: Eukaryota; Viridiplantae; Streptophyta; Magnoliopsida; Malpighiales; Euphorbiaceae.